UACGGAGGGAGCUAGCGUUGUUCGGAAUUACUGGGCGUAAAGCGCGCGUAGGCGGCUUUGUAAGUUAGAGGUGAAAGCCCGGGGCUCAACCCCGGAAUUGCCUUUAAGACUGCAUCGCUUGAAUCCGGGAGAGGUGAGUGGAAUUCCGAGUGUAGAGGUGAAAUUCGUAGAUAUUCGCAAGAACACCAGUGGCGAAGGCGGCUCACUGGCUCGAUAAGCUGACGCUGAGGUGCGAAGCGUGGGGAGCAAACAGG
This 254-nucleotide ribosomal RNA is filed under the name uncultured bacterium. RNAcentral describes it as "partial 16S ribosomal RNA". It matches the Rfam family "Bacterial small subunit ribosomal RNA", at positions 524 to 776 of the family's 1533-position model. The record is from RNAcentral.